Phoenix dactylifera (date palm) is the source of this 207-nucleotide non-coding RNA. The record is from RefSeq and is a predicted model, not a curated record. NCBI's taxonomy places the organism in Eukaryota, Viridiplantae, Streptophyta, Magnoliopsida, Arecales, Arecaceae.
AGGAGCCGCUGCCAGCCAAGAGAGAGGGAGAGAGGGGGAGAGAGAGAGAGAGAGAGAGAGAACCAUUAAAAAAGGUGGGUCUUCUUCGGCACGGGUCUUCCUCUUCCUCCAUCGCCGCCGGAGAGGAAGGAAGGCGCCGGAUCUUCGUCGGGGCUAAGGUUCUGCGAGGAAUUUGUGAGAUUAAUUGGAUUUGUUGUGGAUCGCGUU